RNAcentral lists this ribosomal RNA (253 nucleotides) under uncultured bacterium. Its description in RNAcentral is "partial 16S ribosomal RNA". It matches the Rfam family "Bacterial small subunit ribosomal RNA", at positions 524 to 776 of the family's 1533-position model. The record is from RNAcentral.
UACGUAGGGUGCAAGCGUUAAUCGGAAUUACUGGGCGUAAAGCGUGCGCAGGCGGUUAUGCAAGACAGAUGUGAAAUCCCCGGGCUCAACCUGGGAACUGCACUUGUGACUGCAUGGCUAGAGUACGGUAGAGGGGGAUGGAAUUCCGCGUGUAGCAGUGAAAUGCGUAGAUAUGCGGAGGAACACCGAUGGCGAAGGCAAUCCCCUGGACCUGUACUGACGCUCAUGCACGAAAGCGUGGGGAGCAAACAGG